This is a long non-coding RNA of Ornithodoros turicata, 4780 nucleotides long. RefSeq lists it as uncharacterized. NCBI's taxonomy places the organism in Eukaryota, Metazoa, Arthropoda, Arachnida, Ixodida, Argasidae. The record is from RefSeq and is a predicted model, not a curated record. The transcript has 2 exons.
AAGUUGUGUAUGCUCUAUGAUGAUCCGCCGCAGGCUUAGGCCUUUUCCCCGAUGAGCAGUGUUUUGUAUGCGAUGUCGCAUGUCUGGACUUGUUCAGUAGUGUUGCAAUUUUUACUCUUCGCUAAUAUCUUGUUGCUGUCGUCUUGGGUUAGACGUUGAGCUUCGUAGUGACGUGCGGUAACGCUACGAUUAUUCCUGAGCGCACCGUGUGUUUAAUGCGUUGUACUCUGUGCGUGCGUGCGUGCGUGCGUGUGCUUUUUUCCUGAUUUGUGACGUCCUCGUGGCAUGUCUGGACUUGUUUAGCAGUGUUGCAAUUCUUCCCGCUGCUAGUAUGUUGUUGGUGUCAUGUUGUGCUAGCCGCGUGGCGAUGUGAGGUUACCUGAGGUCUUAAGCCUUUUCCCUGCUCACCUAAGGAAAUUUGUGUAUCCCUGUCCUGUGCUUUCUUUACGCAAGGGUAAUGCGGCUGUGUAUGUGGCAUUAUGCAAGAAUUAUCUGGUGGCAGAAAUGGGUGUCUUUUUCUCAGUUUAUUGGCGUGCGCUACGGUUUCUUGCAGUUACAGCUAUUGGAGCACAAAAGCGUGUAAUUUUUCGCGGUUCUUUUCUCCUUUCACUGCUUUUACUCAGAAUGUAGAUGAGGGGAAACAGUCAGCAUCCAGGUAGAGCAGGAGAAAGCCGCUCGGCAGAGGAGAGUUCAUGAGAAUGGAAUUUGUUUGUUUUUUGUUAUAUGUUGAGUGUCAGUAUUCGCUUUCCUCGAUAUGUUGAGGAAGUCAGCCGUUAUAGGUAUUUGUGCAGAAAUGCUGGUAUCUGAGUGUGUGGAGUAGAAAUUCCUAUAAAGCACCUCUCCUUGUGCAUUCCUGAGCUGCUGUGUGUGCGCGCGUGCUUCUUUUUCCUGGUUUGCGACGUCACGAUGGCAUGUUGGGGCUUGUUUAGCAGUGUUGCAAUUUUACCCGCCGCUAUUAUCUUGUUAUUUGUGUAGGCCGCGUAGCGAUGUCCAGUGACUCUGCUAUUAUUCCUGAGGUCUUAAGCCUUUUCCCUGCUCACCUAAGGAAAUUUGUGUAUCCCUGUCCUGUGCUUUCUUUGCGACAGUGCGUCUGUGUAUGUGGCACUAUCAGAUACCAGACAUGAGUGUCUUUUUCUUGGUUUAUUGGCAUAUGCUUCAGGUUUUUUAAGUCAAGCACAAGUGCGCGCAAUUUUUCGCUGCUCUCUUCCUCAAAUCACCGAUUUUACGCAGAAGAAAGUCGCAUGGUGCAGCUGAGAAGAGGGUUUCUCUGAUUGUUUGUUAGAUGUUGUUAGGAGCUCGGUAUGUUGAGGAAGUCAGCUGUUAAAGGUAUCCGUGAAGAAAUGCUUGCAUUUGAGCACAGGAUAGGAAUUCCUGAAUUCACGGCACCCUCAGUGUAAAUUAAUGAUUUUGUAUGUGAGUCUGCUUCACUGCAUGACAAGGCUGAAAUGGGAAGAGAGAAAAAAUUGGAGCGCUUCAUUAAUAGCGAUCCAAGUAAUAGGGCAAUUAUAGUUUCCAUAGAAAGUAGAAUUUUAAUGAGUUCCUAAAAUUAUAGUUUUGUAGUAGUGUUUCUAAACUGCAAUGCAAGGUAGAAAAUCAUUAAUAUGGUAAGAAUGCCAUCAUGUUCCCGUAAAGGCGUUCUGUCUUGUGCUUUGGCGUGCGCGAAUGGAACUUUCCUCCCCGGCUUCCGCGUCUUUUUGCUCGCAGGUGUACCCUCAGACAACGAAUGUAUGAGCAUAGAAAGGGUCAUGUAUUACAUAAGCCUGGAGGAGAUGUUGAGUGGUCUCACUUAUUAUUUUAGAAGAGCAGUGGUAGUUUACUGUAAUUCUAAUGACCAUGAUGAGCCUUUGGGGUGAAAAUCGUUAAUAUGCAGGGUGCUUUUUUGUUGAAUUUUAAUGAGAGAAUGAAUGUCAUUAAGAGUAGGACAAAGGAAAUAAUCUUGCGAUUCAAUGAAUGAUAGGAGUCUUUGCCGCUGUCUUCUGCUUCAGACAGGAUGUGAUGACGUCACGCAGUCUGUAGCAAUGCAUUGACCGUUACUGGAAAAAAAAUUGUAGCAAUAGAAAAAUGGUGUGCAUUGCCCUGGACGGAUUUAUGAUGAGCACUGUUUUUGAAUAAGAGGAGUGCGUGUGCUUAGAAAUAGUUUGAUGCUGGUUUUCUUCUUUGUUUCUUUUCGCUUUUUUCCCCUUGUUGUCUGACAAACAUGCGCUGACAUGCCUGGGCCUGUUCUGACAUGCUUUCCUUCUACAUGCAGUUUUUUUCUUUUUGUACAAGGAAUAUUCUUGACGAUGACGAUAGUGCUGCCUUGAAUAGGAGUAGAGCUAUUCUUAAUAAUUUUGCGAUUCAUUUAGUUCAGAGAGUAACCGCGAGGGGGACAGGUGUGUGACUUUAUUCUGGAGGAACAAAGCGUCAUUAUUCACUUAGCUGCAUGGCUCUCGGCUGGGAUGGAUAUGUCUUGCUGAACCAUUAUUUUUUCCCUGUGCAGUAAGACUUUGGGAAUGAAAUGCUACAAUCGUCUCUUGUCUAUGGUGCUCUUCUGCAAUAGUUCCCUAUGCAAUCAUUAUAGUAGAAUAAAGGAAAUAACCUUGGGAUAGUGAUUCAAUAAAUAACAGGUCCCCUGUCUAGAGCGUACGCGUCCUUGAGCCACGCACCUGCAUGAUGACGUCAUACCGCAACAGUAUUGUUUCAGGUUGACCUUGUCUAGAGGAGCAUUAGUGGAAAAAAACAGGGUAGCCCUGAAACAAUAGGAUGACGUCACGACCAAUGACAACGGCCUGCAGGGGGCGCAGGGAUUCACUUCUCUCUUGGACGCUGACGGCUCUGGACACGCAAAUUCUGCUCCUGGCGUUGGCCGUCAGUGGAAGAGCGUAGCUUCGGUGGGGUUCUGUCUGCCUCUGAUGGGGUGAGGAUGUGUGGUUCGUCACUGGUGAAUGGUGUUCGACGAUGCAGGUGGAUUUUGUGACGAGCUGAUUUACAAUGAGGGAAUGCUGUGAACGGGAAAAUGAUGGUGAGUGUCUUUUUCACUCUGUUCAAGUGUUUGUUUGUUUUCCUCUGUUGCCCAGCAGUCGUACAAUUUGUCCUGACGUGUUCUGACAUGCCCCGAUAUGCAUGCUUUCCUUUGUUGACGCUUUGUAUUUUUUCUUUUUUGACAACGAACAUUGUUGACUUGACGAUAGCGCUACCCUGAGUUCUGCGCUCCUGUUUACCCGUACUCUGUGUUGAUUUGUUGAGUGCCUAGUCCUCUUAUUUGACAUUGAUGGAGUCACGUGUUGGGAUAUUUUGUUCUUUUGCAAGUGUCAUUUAGUAAGACUUUGGAAUUCCUACGAUCAGCUUUCAUGCAUGGUGCUCUUCUGCAAUAGUUUGCUAUUCAAUCGUUAUAGAAGAAUAAAGGAAAUAAUCAUGGGAUAGUGAUUCAAUAAAUAAUAGGUCCCCUGUCUAGAGCGUACGCGUCCUUGAGCCACGCAGGUGCAUGAUGACGUCAUACUGUGGCUUCAUUGCAGAUUGACCAAAGAAGCAUUAGUGGAAAAAAACAGGGUAGCCCUGAGACAAUAGGAUGACGUCACGACCAAUGAGAACGGCCAGCAGGGGGCGCAGGAAUGCUCUUCUCUCUUAGCCUCACGACCAAUGAGAACGGCCAGCAGGGGGCGCAGAAAUGCUCUUCACUCUUAGCCUCUCGGAGGUGGUCGCCCCAGAGGACGCUAGGAGCGCGUAUGCGUAGCGGCCGCGGAGCGGCGCCCCGGUCAGUUUCUCUCCGGCUGUCGCGGAAAGCAGACGUGCGCUCCCCGCGCUCGCUCAGUUUCUGGCUGGCUGUAACGCAGAGCAGUCGCAUCGGUCUGCGCUCCUGCUGUGAGCUGUCCUAACUUGCCCCAGACAUGCCGUGAUGAUGUCACAGCUGGCGUCACAGGAUGUCUGGAACUGGUGGUCAUAGCUGCGAUGCUUUGCAACCUGCCUCUGUGCUCCGUCGAUGGUCAGCGGCCGUUACGGACCGCUUUCUUCAAGAUGGCGUCGUUGAUCUUCACUUAAACUUCUCUCCACUCUAUCUCUAUCUAUUUUUUUCUUUUUCAUGGACUCUCAUAGUGCACAACGCUCAGCUGGUCUGGACACGAGUUAGAUGCUCCCCAAUUAGUGUGGUGGCUCCCUGGAGGGUGCUGAUUAAUGUGGGGGGUCCCAAUUAGCUCUAAUUGCUAAUUAAAUCGUGUUCAUGCCAGUUGGGCGUUGUGCACUAUGAGAGUCCAGUACCUACUACUCUGCAGGUGAACGGUAAGACAAGUUUGAUUACUUUUUUGUGACUGAAGGAAGUAAUGCAGGUUUACCACAUUAAGUGUAUUACGUACAACAUUUAUGAGUCACUCGGUACGUUAGCGGCGUUUCAUUGUGCAGUGCAUUGCCGUAACUUGUACGUUUCUGAUAUGCCGUUAAUCAAAUUAUGUGUGGUUAUGCUAGUUGCCCCUCAUGCGCGUCGCAGCCGUUCAUUCACUGUGAUCUACAAACAUUCGUGACAAAUGCCUUGGUGUUCAAAUACGAAAUCAAGAUCGAUUGCCUAUCAUAGCAGUGAUUUUCGUGCAGAGUUACGGAUCAUCAAUAUAUUUUUUGUUUUGUUUUAGUUCUCCCGCAGCCAUUGGCAACAACGACGCACAUAGCUCAGCAUUGGCUUUUGAACUGCCCUUCGAUGUCGAAGCACCUAAAGUGAAGCCUCCAGUGAAGCCUGUUACAAGACGUAAAAAGAUAUGUACUGUAGCUUUUUCGAGGCAGUUCCCGAGGACAAAUAAAGUUGAUUUGUCAUACA